CCCAAACCCCAGGGGACUUGGGGCAGCAGCAGGGCAGAGAACAGACUAUCCUAGGGCAACCGCCUCCCCCUCCUGAAUUUUUCGAUCUUCUUUCUUUCAAUCUCUAAGGGACCAGCAGAGAAUUCACCUGAACAUAGGGAAAAGAGUGACGAGAGGGAGAGAAGCAGAGGGAACGAUAUAGUGAGAACGAGGGUGAGAAGGGAACGACCAGAAUUUCAAUAAAAGAAAAGGAAAAACGUUACAGAGAGGCUACGUGAGUUUGAUGAUGCACUAAAAGAGACGAACGAAAGUACUGUCCUUCAAAUUUUGGUUUUAAAAAUGGAGGUCAUCCGAGGUUGUGUUUGAUUCGAGGUUUCCGGUCUGGGUUCGUGAGCUUGAAGCAACCGUUGAUGUGCACUUGAUUUGGAGCUCUAUUGUUUAAUAUAAAAGGAAGAUUCGUCAAAGGCAAGGGAAUCAGGUGGCAUAUCUUUUGGCGGCGGAAGCUACAAAACGGUCCAUGCAAAAGCAAAUUAAAGCAGAAAAAGUAUUGGCAAAGUAGUACAAAUCAUCUCGCACAAUACAAAUCAUCAGAUACGAGUCGUCCGGAAUCGAAAAAUUGAGGAAAAAGCAU
Non-coding RNA from Nicotiana tabacum (common tobacco), 610 nucleotides. NCBI's taxonomy places the organism in Eukaryota, Viridiplantae, Streptophyta, Magnoliopsida, Solanales, Solanaceae. The record is from RefSeq and is a predicted model, not a curated record.